UUGCUUGUUCUAGCUUGCUCUCAUCUCCGGCUAUUGAUUCAUUUCAUCGUUUCUACACCGUUAUCGACUUGUUAAGAGGUCACUAGCUUCAUCUUCUCAACAUUUAGAAGCGGCGUAUGUCAUUUCCUAGUGCUAUGUAUAUUAUUUUUUAUUUUAUGGUUUUUUUAAGAGGUUAUUGGCUUCAUCGCCAUUUCAAAAGCGACGCGUUUUUUUAGAGAAAUAGUGGUAAUAUGUUUUUUAUUUUAAUUAGUUU
This 253-nucleotide long non-coding RNA is filed under the name Sorghum bicolor (sorghum). Its description in RNAcentral is "long non-coding RNA (SBIC_LNC017234)". Lineage: Eukaryota; Viridiplantae; Streptophyta; Magnoliopsida; Poales; Poaceae. The record is from RNAcentral.